CAGGUUGAAGUUCAGGUAACACUGAAUGGAGGACCGAACCGACUUACGUUGAAAAGUGAGCGGAUGAACUGAGGGUAGCGGAGAAAUUCCAAUCGAACUUGGAGAUAGCUGGUUCUCUCCGAAAUAGCUUUAGGGCUAGCCUCAAGUGAUGAUUAUUGGAGGUAGAGCACUGUUUGGACGAGGGGCCCCUCUCGGGUUACCGAAUUCAGACAAACUCCGAAUGCCAAUUAAUUUAACUUGGGAGUCAGAACAUGGGUGAUAAGGUCCGUGUUCGAAAGGGAAACAGCCCAGACCACCAGCUAAGGUCCCAAAAUAUAUGUUAAGUGGAAAAGGAUGUGGCGUUGCCCAGACAACUAGGAUGUUGGCUUAGAAGCAGCCAUCAUUUAAAGAGUGCGUAAUAGCUCACUAGUCGAGUGACACUGCGCCGAAAAUGUACCGGGGCUAAACAUAUUACCGAAGCUGUGGAUUGUCCUUUGGACAAUGGUAGGAGAGCGUUCUAAGGGCGUCGAAGCAUGAUCGCAAGGACAUGUGGAGCGCUUAGAAGUGAGAAUGCCGGUGUGAGUAGCGAAAGACGGGUGAGAAUCCCGUCCACCGAUUGACUAAGGUUUCCAGAGGAAGGCUCGUCCGCUCUGGGUUAGUCGGGUCCUAAGCUGAGGCCGACAGGCGUAGGCGAUGGAUAACAGGUUGAUAUUCCUGUACCACCUAGUAUCGUUUUAAUCGAUGGGGGGACGCAGUAGGAUAGGCGAAGCGUGCUGUUGGAGUGCACGUCCAAGCAGUAAGGCUGAGUGUUAGGCAAAUCCGGCACUCAUAAGGCUGAGCUGUGAUGGGGAGAGGAAAUUGUUUCCUCGAGUCGUUGAUUUCACACUGCCGAGAAAAGCCUCUAGAUAGAUAACAGGUGCCCGUACCGCAAACCGACACAGGUAGUCAAGAUGAGAAUUCUAAGGUGAGCGAGCGAACUCUCGUUAAGGAACUCGGCAAAAUGACCCCGUAACUUCGGGAGAAGGGGUGCUCUUUAGGGUUCACGCCCAGAAGAGCCGCAGUGAAUAGGCCCAAGCGACUGUUUAUCAAAAACACAGGUCUCUGCUAAACCGUAAGGUGAUGUAUAGGGGCUGACGCCUGCCCGGUGCUGGAAGGUUAAGAGGAGUGGUUAGCUUCUGCGAAGCUACGAAUCGAAGCCCCAGUAAACGGCGGCCGUAACUAUAACGGUCCUAAGGUAGCGAAAUUCCUUGUCGGGUAAGUUCCGACCCGCACGAAAGGCGUAACGAUUUGGGCACUGUCUCAACGAGAGACUCGGUGAAAUCAUAGUACCUGUGAAGAUGCAGGUUACCCGCGACAGGACGGAAAGACCCCGUGGAGCUUUACUGUAGCCUGAUAUUGAAAUUCGGCACAGCUUGUACAGGAUAGGUAGGAGCCUUUGAAACGUGAGCGCUAGCUUACGUGGAGGCGUUGGUGGGAUACUACCCUAGCUGUGUUGGCUUUCUAACCCGCACCACUUAUCGUGGUGGGAGACAGUGUCAGGCGGGCAGUUUGACUGGGGCGGUCGCCUCCUAAAAGGUAACGGAGGCGCUCAAAGGUUCCCUCAGAAUGGUUGGAAAUCAUUCAUAGAGUGUAAAGGCAUAAGGGAGCUUGACUGCGAGACCUACAAGUCGAGCAGGGUCGAAAGACGGACUUAGUGAUCCGGUGGUUCCGCAUGGAAGGGCCAUCGCUCAACGGAUAAAAGCUACCCCGGGGAUAACAGGCUUAUCUCCCCCAAGAGUUCACAUCGACGGGGAGGUUUGGCACCUCGAUGUCGGCUCAUCGCAUCCUGGGGCUGUAGUCGGUCCCAAGGGUUGGGCUGUUCGCCCAUUAAAGCGGUACGCGAGCUGGGUUCAGAACGUCGUGAGACAGUUCGGUCCCUAUCCGUCGUGGGCGUAGGAAAUUUGAGAGGAGCUGUCCUUAGUACGAGAGGACCGGGAUGGACAUACCUCUGGUGUACCAGUUGUCGUGCCAACGGCAUAGCUGGGUAGCUAUGUAUGGACGGGAUAAGUGCUGAAAGCAUCUAAGCAUGAAGCCCCCCUCAAGAUGAGAUUUCCCAACUUCGGUUAUAAGAUCCCUCGAAGAUGACGAGGUUAAUAGGUUCGAGGUGGAAGCGUGGUGACACGUGGAGCUGACGAAUACUAAUCGAUCGAAGACUUAAUCAAUUUUUAAA
RNAcentral lists this ribosomal RNA (2188 nucleotides) under Salmonella enterica. Its description in RNAcentral is "partial 23S ribosomal RNA". It matches the Rfam family "Bacterial large subunit ribosomal RNA", at positions 741 to 2925 of the family's 2925-position model. Lineage: Bacteria; Pseudomonadati; Pseudomonadota; Gammaproteobacteria; Enterobacterales; Enterobacteriaceae. The record is from RNAcentral.